Molecule: ribosomal RNA, 443 nt
Filed under: uncultured Rickettsiaceae bacterium
Lineage: Bacteria; Pseudomonadati; Pseudomonadota; Alphaproteobacteria; Rickettsiales; Rickettsiaceae
Description: bacterial SSU rRNA
Rfam family: Bacterial small subunit ribosomal RNA
Source: RNAcentral
AAUGAACGCUGGCGGCAGGCUUAACACAUGCAAGUCGAACGAUUAAAGCUUCUUCGGAAGUGUAUAAAGUGGCAAACGGGUGAGUAACACGUGGGAAUGUACCUUUUGGUUCGGGACAACAGUUGGAAACGACUGCUAAUACCGGAUACGCUCUACGGAGGAAAGAUUUAUCGCCAAAAGAUCAGCCCGCGCUAGAUUAGUUAGUUGGUAAGGUAACGGCUUACCAAGACGAUGAUCUAUAGCAGGUUUGAGAGGAUGAUCUGCCACACUGGGACUUAGAUACGGCCCAGACUCCUACGGGAGGCAGCAGUGAGGAAUAUUGGACAAUGGAGGAAACUCUGAUCCAGCCAUGCCGCGUGAGUGAUGAAGGCCCUAGGGUUGUAAAACUCUUUUAGUAAGGAAGAUAAUGACGGUACUUACAGAAAAAGCCCCGGCUAACUCCG